GGGAAUUACAAGGUCUUAAUAAGCAGGAAACAGCUGAUAAAUAUGGAAGUGAGCAGGUUCAUGAGUGGCGUCGUAGCUAUGAUAUUCCUCCUCCGAACGGAGAAAGUUUGGAAAUGUGUGCAGAGAGAGCUGUUGCCUACUUCACAGAGCACAUUGAACCCCAACUGGCAAGUGGAAAAAAUAUAAUGAUUGCAGCCCAUGGGAACUCAUUGAGGUCCAUCAUUAUGUAUCUUGACAAGCUAACAUCCCAAGAGGUUAUAAGUUUGGAGCUUGCCACUGGAAUCCCCAUGCUUUACAUAUUCAAAGAAGGAAGGUAUAUUCGCAGAGGAAGUCCUCCAGCCCCAACUGAGGCAACAGUCUAUGCUUAUACAAAGAAAUUGGCUCAGUACAGACAAAAGCUAGAUGAUAUGUUUGAGUAACGUGACAAGGGGUUUGCUUUCAGUUGAAGUAGAUUUGAUAUGCCUCUUGAAGACUAGUUUCUCUUGCAAAUGGGAGUGAUUUGUUUUUUCGUUUACUGUAGUCUUCUCAUAGAUAGGCCAAACAAACUCGGCCACUUUUUCAUAAAUGUUGUUCUAUAUGUGUUGAUACUGUGAAUUGUAAUGUAGAAUAUUUUUUGGUUUUGAUCAGUAUUUGUAGACACAUUAAAGAGAAUGAGCCUACUAGUGUUUUUGU
Molecule: unclassified non-coding RNA, 672 nt
Filed under: Hevea brasiliensis (rubber tree)
Lineage: Eukaryota; Viridiplantae; Streptophyta; Magnoliopsida; Malpighiales; Euphorbiaceae
Source: RNAcentral